ACACAUGGCAUUAUAGAGUACCAGGAGCAGAGGGGAGAGGUGACACCACCAGGAAGGAGGCUGUGACCUUGGGGAGGCCACCAUUUAAUUGGGCAUCUUGUGUCAGAAGACUUAAAUGAUGCAGUGUAUGUUUACUUGUAUCAGUCUCAGAUUGGAAUGCAAGGAGAGGAUGAUCCUGCAUCUCUCCAGACUGAGCUGUCAGGAAAAUAAAGAACUUGGAUCCUUGCUUUUCUGAUGGGCCACCACUGCCUUUGGAUGGAAGGACAAAAGCUGCUUUCCAGGCUGGUAGGACAUUGGGAGGCAGGGUAGGAAGGACAUGGUGGUGGGGUGUGGUCUGCAAGCCUUUCGUGUCUUCCAGGAGCAAUUUCUUCCUUCUUUGACCCCAUCAAAGGAGAUGAAUCCCAGGUUCUUGCAAUACAUGUUUAUUUCAGCCAUCUUCUCCUUCCUAGGUUGGGGCAAAACUGUGUUCUGUGAUCACCAUCUGCCAUUGUGAUAAUUUCUUGGAGCACUGAGAUUUAACAUCACAAGAAGAAGAAA
RNAcentral lists this long non-coding RNA (537 nucleotides) under Homo sapiens (human). RNAcentral describes it as "HSALNT0043626". The record is from RNAcentral. Lineage: Eukaryota; Metazoa; Chordata; Mammalia; Primates; Hominidae.